Molecule: ribosomal RNA, 132 nt
Filed under: Peromyscus maniculatus bairdii (prairie deer mouse)
Lineage: Eukaryota; Metazoa; Chordata; Mammalia; Rodentia; Cricetidae
Source: RNAcentral
AGUUAUAGCCAUAUCACCCUUAACUUACCUGAUACCGUCUCAUCUUGGAAGCCAAGCAGUGUUGGGAUGGGUUAGCAGUUGGAUGGGAGGAAAUGCCUACCCAAGAUUGACAGGAAAUAUUAAUAAAAAGUC